This is a long non-coding RNA of Mytilus californianus (California mussel), 621 nucleotides long. RefSeq lists it as uncharacterized. The record is from RefSeq and is a predicted model, not a curated record. The transcript has 2 exons. Lineage: Eukaryota; Metazoa; Mollusca; Bivalvia; Mytilida; Mytilidae.
UAUUAACCAAAACUACCUAGUUUUGUAUCAAUUUUUUCAAAAACUAUGCCUUUUUGUUAAUCCUAAUUCGUGUUUUUAUGUUUUGCAGGAAAUGAUUAAUAGAGACUGAAUCAAAUGAAGAAUCUUCAGAGUUAAAUGCAUAGGAAGAAAAUAUAAAUAUAGCCAAUUAAUGCACAUGACAUUAGGAGAAACAGUAAUAAAUUUUGAAAUUGGUAUAAAGGAGAGGUCACACGUCAGAGAAGAUACAGUAUGUUGAGAAAAGUUGAGAACAAACUACUUUGUUUGAAGUGGAAUCACAGUGGUCAAGACUUCAUCUUUGAAUAAAGUUAAUUGUAUUAGAAGUGAAGCCUUAACAGUCAUGAGACAAUAAUUAAUAUUUAAUUGUUAUUUCAAAGACUUUGUGGAUGUGAUUUGACGCAUUUGUAUGACUUGAAUGUUGCAUUUUUCAUAUGAAGACUUACAAGGCAAAGAAUUGGAUGUGACUAAAUUUUGUAUGCAUUUAAAGACUUGAAGAACUUGUGCUGUCUUCUUCAGAUUUCAGGAGAAUUAAUGUUUAAGACAGUAAAUUAUUUGUAUGAAAAGAAGAAUAAUUAUGUGCUCAUUAAAUGAAUCAUAAAAAUA